Long non-coding RNA from Gasterosteus aculeatus aculeatus (three-spined stickleback), 536 nucleotides. The record is from Ensembl. NCBI's taxonomy places the organism in Eukaryota, Metazoa, Chordata, Actinopteri, Perciformes, Gasterosteidae.
UUUUAUUUUUCAGAUCUGCUCCUGAAUUUCAGAUCUUCAUGUUCUGGUCCACUCUAAGCAGAAAGCCACAUAGUCUUUUGUGGCCUGCACUGAAAUUAUUCCUCUUUCUGGGUGUGACUUUGCUAAUCCAGUUUUGGCAAUUCGUGAUUUCUAUCUGUCAGCUUAAAUCAAAGGAUUACACGCGAAACUCCCCGGUGUAUUUUGCAGAAAGCUUCCUCCUUGUACCCAUUAAGUCGGAGAGAACUGGUUGUUCCAUCUGUCCGUUCUUUGUUCAGGACUUUUCUCUCUUCCUGCGUCAGCAUCAAGGGCGUCCACACAAGGCUCGGAGGCUUCGUCGGCAGGCCUGUACUGCUCCUGUGCGCCUUCACUGUUCUCACUGACUGCGCAUGAGCAAAGAUUACCUCGCUCUAAUCCCUUUUGUGAGGGAACAUUCAAUGAACCGGACAGGCUCAUUCAUGGGUGCAGCUUUCAGGCAGUAAUGUGUCCCAUACAAACACAUACAAUUUGGGGGGCACUCUAUUUCAUAUUGAUCUAUG